This 1263-nucleotide long non-coding RNA is filed under the name Mus musculus (house mouse). RNAcentral describes it as "predicted gene, 48324". Lineage: Eukaryota; Metazoa; Chordata; Mammalia; Rodentia; Muridae. The record is from RNAcentral.
AGCUUGGGUUGAGUUGACCUAAAAACUACACAGCAUGGUGACACAGCAGCAGUUUAUUCCCAGUUCAGCAUGUGCUAAGGAGAGGAAUUUUCUUUUGGAAAGUCCUGAUCAAAGGAAGAGGUUAGCUCACAGCUAUUCUGAACUGUUAGAUGGAAGAUACCAGCAUGAAAAAACCCCCACCCCGCAGAUGUGUGCCUGCCCUUACCUGACUCACCAUGCAAAUCAGGGAAGGUGCACAGAGGUCUGGAGCUCAGCAAUGCCUCCUGGUUGAAGAUGAAGGCCCGAAAGUGACAUUGUCCCAGAAGCCAUGCUUUCUUCUGCAGCUCCCGUGCUCUCCUGCACAGACUAGCCUCUGAGGGACCCGGGAUACAAGGUCAGGAUUAUAGUUCUUAGAUAUUACAAUAAACAUAUAUUUUGCUUACCUGUUUUCCCUAUUAGUCUACUAGAGCACAAGUCUCCUGAGAGCAGGGAGCUAGUCCAUUCUUGCCUGAUGAAUCCCUCACACUAACAUCUAGUAGAGUACUGUACACACAGCCAGUUUCCAUGUUUGUUGAAUGUUUGGAUGGAAGGAUACAUGUGAACUCCUCUUCCUAUUCAUGUCAUUUUCAUUGAUGGACAACAACUCGAAUGGGGCGAUUUCUACUUAUUCCUAUUCAUGUAAUAACUAUCAAAAUAGGUAGUUAUUGAAGUCAUGAACUCCUGCCAGUUAACUGGACUUAUGUCAUAUUUUUUUCUGGUGAAUUUUCACCAGCCUCUGCAAUAUGAACUUAAGACAUUGAUCACAGUGACACUAAGAAGUUCAACUAUGUCAAUAUCUACUUACAACAGAUUAUAAGCAAGCAUGUAUCUAUAUAUGUAUUUUAAGCAGCUUGCUUAAUAUUGUAUUGAUAUUAGUUCCCAACUAUAAGCUAACAGAUUAUGUUGCCAGUUCAUUGAUACCAAGUAAAAUAUAUAUUUAUAUACUUAAAUAUAUAUUUAGAUCUUAGAAAACCUUGUGUAUGAAUAAUCAGAAUAUGGACAAUAUUAUGUAGUUGUAGUCACUAGACAUACUUGAGUCUAUUUAUUAUACAUUGUCACGCACCUCUUUAUUAUUAUUAUUUUUUUUUUUUUUUGCUUGAGUCAGUCAGCAGGGAAUUUCAAUUUUGCUGACUCAUCAAAAUUCCCUUAUCUAUCCAUGAUGCAUCAUGACAUAUCAGACCAUGUGUUGUUUACCCAGAAGACCUUUAUUAUUUAUGAAAGCAACUUGAAAAGAGAAAAAAAUAA